This 864-nucleotide ribosomal RNA is filed under the name uncultured archaeon. RNAcentral describes it as "SSU rRNA". It matches the Rfam family "Archaeal small subunit ribosomal RNA", at positions 474 to 1337 of the family's 1478-position model. The record is from RNAcentral.
AACCAGCACCUCAAGUGGUCAGGAUGAUUAUUGGGCCUAAAGCAUCCGUAGCCGGCUCUGUAAGUUUUCGGUUAAAUCUGUACGCUUAACGUACAGGCUGCCGGGAAUACUGCAGAGCUAGGUAGUGGGAGAGGUAGACGGUACUCGGUAGGAAGGGGUAAAAUCCUUUGAUCUAUUGAUGACCACCUGUGGCGAAGGCGGUCUACCAGAACACGUACGACGGUGAGGGAUGAAAGCUGGGGGAGCAAACCGGAUUAGAUACCCGGGUAGUCCCAGCUGUAAACUAUGCAAACUCAGUGAUGCAUUGGCUUGUGGCCAAUGCAGUGCUGCAGGGAAGCCGUUAAGUUUGCCGCCUGGGAAGUACGUACGCAAGUAUGAAACUUAAAGGAAUUGGCGGGGGAGCACCACAAGGGGUGAAGCCUGCGGUUCAAUUGGAGUCAACGCCAGAAAUCUUACCCGGAGAGACAGCAGAAUGAAGGUCAAGCUGAAGACUUUACCAGACAAGCUGAGAGGUGGUGCAUGGCCGUCGCCAGCUCGUGCCGUGAGAUGUCCUGUUAAGUCAGGUAACGAGCGAGAUCCCUGCCUCUAGUUGCCACCAUUACUCUCAGGAGUAGUGGGGCGAAUUAGCGGGACCGCCGCAGUUAAUGCGGAGGAAGGAAGGGGCCACGGCAGGUCAGUAUGCCCCGAAACUCUGGGGCCACACGCGGGCUGCAAUGGUAACGACAAUGGGUUUCGAAUUCGAAAGGAUGAGGUAAUCCUCAAACGUUACCACAGUUAUGACUGAGGGCUGCAACUCGCCCCCACGAAUAUGGAAUCCCUAGUAACUGCGUGUCACUAUCGCGCGGUGAAUACGUCCCUGCUCCU